RNAcentral lists this ribosomal RNA (521 nucleotides) under Thelonectria amamiensis. Its description in RNAcentral is "SSU rRNA". It matches the Rfam family "Eukaryotic small subunit ribosomal RNA", at positions 65 to 590 of the family's 1831-position model. The record is from RNAcentral. Lineage: Eukaryota; Fungi; Ascomycota; Sordariomycetes; Hypocreales; Nectriaceae.
AUAAGCAAUUAUACAGCGAAACUGCGAAUGGCUCAUUAUAUAAGUUAUCGUUUAUUUGAUAGUACCUUACUACUUGGACAACCGUGGUAAUUCUAGAGCUAAUACAUGCUAAAAAUCCCGACUUCGGAAGGGAUGUGUUUAUUAGAUUAAAAACCAAUGCCCUCCGGGGCUCCUUGGUGAUUCAUGAUAACUAUUCGAAUCGCAUGGCCUUGCGCCGGCGAUGGUUCAUUCAAAUUUCUUCCCUAUCAACUUUCGAUGUUUGGGUAUUGGCCAAACAUGGUUGCAACGGGUAACGGAGGGUUAGGGCUCGACCCCGGAGAAGGAGCCUGAGAAACGGCUACUACAUCCAAGGAAGGCAGCAGGCGCGCAAAUUACCCAAUCCCGACACGGGGAGGUAGUGACAAUAAAUACUGAUACAGGGCUCUUUUGGGUCUUGUAAUUGGAAUGAGUACAAUUUAAAUCUCUUAACGAGGAACAAUUGGAGGGCAAGUCUGGUGCCAGCAGCCGCGGUAAUUCCAGCU